Molecule: ribosomal RNA, 603 nt
Filed under: uncultured bacterium
Lineage: Bacteria
Description: bacterial SSU rRNA
Rfam family: Bacterial small subunit ribosomal RNA
Source: RNAcentral
AGAGUUUGAUCCUGGCUCAGAUUGAACGCUGGCGGCAUGCCUUACACAUGCAAGUCGAACGGUAACGCGGGGCAACCUGGCGACGAGUGGCGAACGGGUGAGUAAUAUAUCGGAACGUGCCCAGUAGUGGGGGAUAGCCCGGCGAAAGCCGGAUUAAUACCGCAUACGACCUGAGGGUGAAAGCGGGGGAUCGCAAGACCUCGCGCUAUUGGAGCGGCCGAUAUCAGAUUAGGUAGUUGGUGGGGUAAAGGCCUACCAAGCCUGCGAUCUGUAGCUGGUCUGAGAGGACGACCAGCCACACUGGGACUGAGACACGGCCCAGACUCCUACGGGAGGCAGCAGUGGGGAAUUUUGGACAAUGGGCGCAAGCCUGAUCCAGCCAUGCCGCGUGCGGGAAGAAGGCCUUCGGGUUGUAAACCGCUUUUGUCAGGGAAGAAACGCUCUGGGCUAAUACCCUGGGGUAAUGACGGUACCUGAAGAAUAAGCACCGGCUAACUACGUGCCAGCAGCCGCGGUAAUACGUAGGGUGCAAGCGUUAAUCGGAAUUACUGGGCGUAAAGCGUGCGCAGGCGGUCCUGCAAGACAGAUGUGAAAUCCCCGGGC